CACCUGCCCAGCGUCUGCUCCUCAGGCCAAGGUCCAUGGCUCCUGGGACUGACCCCAGGGACUUAGAGUCCGAGGUCAUUCCAGUGCAGCAGGCCAUCCAGAUACAGAAGGUCUACCCGAUGCAGCCAGUCGUCCUGAUGCCCUUGAAUCCCCCAGAAAAGGAUUAUUUGUUUCUCUCCAUCAUUUCCAUCUUCUUCUGCAUUCUGCUGGCAAUACCAGCCAUCUUGUUCUCCAUCAAGACCCGUGAAGCCAACCUCCUUGGGAAUCAAAGGAAAGCACAGAUAAAUUCCAGACGGGCCUUGGCCUUCAGCAUCUCAAGCAUCCUGGUGGGCUCCAUUAUGGUCAUUUGCUCCAUUGUAGUCCGAAUCUUGAAGCAUCGAAUAUGAGAUCGUUUUGAAAGCUCACCUCCCUUGGAGAGUCAUGAACGGUACCUCCUGGGUCCUCUUGGAACCUUUGACCUUGAACAUCAGUAACCUACCUUACUGAGGGACGUCUCCCCCCCCCACCAGAUUUUUAAGAGCAAUGAAGUUUAUGAGGAAGUUUCUGUGCUCCAUUCAUCUGCUGUAUGUAUGUGUAUGUGCACAGGCACCUGUGUGCCCCUGCAUCCACUUCACGAACUUCCAUGGGGCUUAUUUAUGUAUUCAGCAGACACUUGCUGGGCAACCACUAUCCUGUACCAGGCACUAUUUUAGGCCUUAGUGAUUCAGUGCUGACUCAGAUUGAUGAGGUGUCUGCCUCCAUAACACCUACUCUACACUGAGAGCACACAGAAGAGUAAGAUGUAAAGCAACAGGAUAGUUCUGGGUCAGUACUGUCUUAGAGGACAUUUGGCAGUGGCAAAAUUCUCUGUCAUCCACUCUGUCCAAUAUCAUACCCACUAGGCAUAUGUGGCUACUGAGCACUUGAAAUGUCGCUAGUGCAACUGAAGAAUCAAUUUUGUAGGUAAUUUAGUGAUAAUUAAUAAUUAAGUUAAAUUUGCCACGUGUGGUCAGUGGCUACUGUCCUGGGUAGCCGGGUCUAGAUAGGGAUCAACAUCAUGACCAGUUUAUUCUAAAAGGAUGUAACUCAAGGAGAGUCAGAUGGAAGACGUGCACAGAGCAAGAUACGAGGAAAGGGCGUGGAGCUUCCAUGCAACCCUCUCUUAGCCCCUCCUCAUGUUCACCAACCCAGAAGCUCUUGGAACCCAUCCUUUUAGGUUUUGAUAGAGAACUCUGUUGACUUAAAGAAAAAUGCUCAAUGUAAGAGUUUUGAGUUUACGUUAUAUUCAGGGAGACUACUAGGGAUGCUGGCCCAGGAGACACCCUCUCAGUGGUUCUAAGGAACUGCUCCAAAGAGGUAGGGGGAGAAGCCAGUAUAUGUAUGAUUUUGGGCUUGGGAAUAUGUGUAUAUUGGCAAAAAGAUUACUUGGUAAUCUUGGUAAAAGAUUACUGCUAGUCUCAAAGAACAGUUAACUCAGGUGAAUGAUUUUAGUGCUUUUCUGUAUAUGAAAAAAGCAGGAAUCUGGGUUCAUUCAAAUUCUUCCUAAGAUACACAUCUGACUCUCAAAAGGGCCUAUUUUUCCAAAGCACCGGAUGCUUCAUCCUGUUUUUUCAUCUUGAAUUCCCAUCAGGAUGCACUGUCAGUGAGAACUGGGGGGCAAGUGAUGUGCUUUGUUUUUCUUUGCUUUACACUUCAUUACAGUCAUAAUUGAUUAA
Molecule: long non-coding RNA, 1694 nt
Organism: Phacochoerus africanus (Common warthog)
Lineage: Eukaryota; Metazoa; Chordata; Mammalia; Artiodactyla; Suidae
Exons: 2
Source: RefSeq, a predicted model, not a curated record